AUGGGGAUCUCGCACCCGCUGUCCGACGAGUUCUACGGAGGGCCCCGCGGAGGAGGUCUGGGCAGCGCGCUGCUGCUGUCGCCGGAGCGGACGCCGCCGCCCGCCUCCUGCUGCUCGCCCGUGGACGACGGCCAGGAGGACUUCCUCCAGCACCAGGUGUCCCGGAUGGACACGCUCGCCGGCAUCGCCAUCAAGUACGGCGUCGAGAUCUCGGACAUUAAGAGGGCAAAUAGUCUUGUGACUGACAGCCAGAUGUAUGCACACAAGGCAUUGCUCAUACCUCUGCCAGGAAGGCCCAUGCCAUCCUCUGUGAAGCUGAACGGCUCCAGCCUACGAUCGAAGAGAGCGUGGGCUCCGAACAAUCAGCAAAACGGGGACAUUGUGAAUUCACUAGAUUCUGAUAAGUCUAGGCAACAGCAGUCGUCACUUGCAAUGAGCAGCUUGCAGAGCUACUAUGGCCUGAGUUCUCAAGGAGGAGAUGACAUGGAUCUGAGUACAGAAAUGUCCUUGUACAGCAAGGGAAGCUCCCAAGGUAUUGGAAGUGAAAUACUCCCAAUUUCUUCUUCUCCGCCUGACAGUACACAAAGCACUGGCAGAGGCAACGGGGCUACCAAAGAGAAGCAAGAUGGUUCCAUACGCCGGCGGCAGAAAGUGGAGGCGGAUACCCAGGACGACCUUCUGUCGGACUCGAUCAAGAUGAUCAAGAGCUUCCUGCCGAGGCCGGUCUCCAGCAUGCGUCUGAAUACGGACGCGGGCAGCCCGGAUCCCGCCGCGAGGAGCAGUGGCGGCUCAUUCCUCGACGGGUUCAAGUCCGUGGUGCGGAGGUCGCCGAGCGCCCCGAGCUUUGCGGACUCGGAGAACAAUGGGGUCUCCAUGUGGUCGAGCUCCAAGUGGACAUUCAACCACGAGUCCUUCACCCGGCCGUUGCUUGACGGCCUCCCGAAACCCGCGACGGGUCGCAGGAUGAAAGCUGCCCUAGACUGA
This 984-nucleotide ribosomal RNA is filed under the name Triticum aestivum (bread wheat). Its description in RNAcentral is "partial small subunit ribosomal RNA". Lineage: Eukaryota; Viridiplantae; Streptophyta; Magnoliopsida; Poales; Poaceae. The record is from RNAcentral.